CAGCGAGCUAGCACUGCAGUGCAUAACAUGUGGUGAGUAGUUGACUCAAAGAGAGGGAAAGGCAAUAGUUGAACAGUUUUCAACAAAUUAAUUUCUUCAACACCGAAUGAGACGCAAGAGAGAGAAAGUUUCAAUUACUUAGCUAGCAAAUGCAGCUGGCUAGUUUAGUUACUCAUACACCUGACUCAAACAGAGGGAUGCUAUGUUAGCUAGCUGGCUACAACUAUCCAACACAACACUAAAUCUCUUCCAAGGCACAGCACCAUAGAAGAAGUACCAUAGAAGAAAUGCGGUGUAACAAGGUGUAACACAAUACAACGGCCAUGGGUGGCUCGGCUAAGCCCGAGAUGAGCCUCUCUUUUAGGAAGAGAAGGACUGGGUGCUUUGAAGGACCUGAGCCCUAGGACCAUGCCUCAGGACUACCUGGCAUGAUGACUCCUUGCUGUCUCCAGUCCACCUGGCCGUGCUGCUGCUCCAGUUUCAACUGUUCUGGACGUGCUACCUGUCCCAGACCUGCUGUUUUCAACUCUCUAGAGACAGCAGGAGUGGUAGAGAUACUCUUAAUGAUCGGCUAUGAAAAGCCAACUGACAUUUACUCCUGAGGUGCUGACUUGCUGCACCCUCGACAACUACUUUGAUUAUUAUUAUUUGACCAUGCUGGUCAUUUAUGAACAUUUGAACAUCUUGGCCAUGUUCUGUUAUAAUCUCUCCACCUGGCACAGCCAGAAGAGGACUGGCCACCCCUCAUAGCCUGGUUCCUCUCUAGAUUUUUUCCUAGGUUUUGGCCUUUCUAGGGAGUUUUUCCUAGCCACCAUGCUUCUACACCUGCAUUGCUUGCUUUUUGGGAUUUUAGGCUGGGUUAAUGUACAGCACUUUGAGAUAUCAGCUGAUGUACGAAGGGCCAUAUAAAUACAUUUGAUUUGAAGAAAUAUUAUGUUGGAAAAUGUUUUUGUGUAAGCCUGGCUUCCCUUGGCAUCCAUGAAUAUACGCCACUGGUUAGCUGCAGGAAGAUGGUUAGAGAGCCCAUUGCAUACAGAGUUUGGGUAGAAUAUCACCUGUUGGGCAGCUACUCAAACAGUGGUUGAUAUGUGGAGUGAAAUAACUGUUCUUGUAUUUAUUUCUCAGCUACUCAUAACGAGCACAUGCUCCGCUAUAAAACCCAAGUAGCCUACAAAAUGGACCGGCCUGAAAGCACACGGCCUCCAUUCAUUCGCUAUUCAUGUGCAUACAGAUGACAUGUCUUUUUUCCCCUGACCCUGUUCCUGCCCAUUUGAUAAUGGGCCAUUCUAAAUCGAAAGACAAGAUUCAAUUGAGAAUAGUCUGAUGGGUGAAAAUGUGAUGAUCACUUGAUGAGAGAACAGCUGUGUAGCCUGGGGCAAGGAACAGAGUGCAAGCUUUUUUCUGCAACUUUCUCAAAUCAUCAAUGGCCGAUAUAGUCGCACCAUGGAGCCCAUAUAUACUGAACAAAAAUAUACUAAACCCCUCACUGCUUUCAGCAGUAAGCCAGAAGCUUGCUUACAGUGGGAUGAGUGUGAUUUUGCUGAAAAUAAUGGUCCCUAUGUUAAAAAUAUAUGUAUUGAAGUUUGACAACAAGAGCAUUAUCUAUGAAUGUAAUGGAUGCAUGGCCCUGGUGCAUGUGUGUGUGUGUGUGUGUGUGUGUG
This is a long non-coding RNA of Oncorhynchus masou masou (cherry salmon), 1661 nucleotides long. RefSeq lists it as uncharacterized. NCBI's taxonomy places the organism in Eukaryota, Metazoa, Chordata, Actinopteri, Salmoniformes, Salmonidae. The record is from RefSeq and is a predicted model, not a curated record. The transcript is spliced from 3 exons.